AAGGACUUAGCUUAAUUAAAGUGCUUGAUUUGCGUUCAAGUGAUGCAGGAUAAAUCCUUGNNGUUCUUA
RNAcentral lists this transfer RNA (69 nucleotides) under Thylacinus cynocephalus (Tasmanian wolf). RNAcentral's name for it is "tRNA-Ala". It matches the Rfam family "tRNA". Rfam says of the family: Transfer RNA (tRNA) molecules are approximately 80 nucleotides in length. Their secondary structure includes four short double-helical elements and three loops (D, anti-codon, and T loops). The record is from RNAcentral. Lineage: Eukaryota; Metazoa; Chordata; Mammalia; Dasyuromorphia; Thylacinidae.